This 318-nucleotide unclassified non-coding RNA is filed under the name Rhodotorula sp. RNAcentral describes it as "partial contains 5.8S ribosomal RNA, internal transcribed spacer 2, and large subunit ribosomal RNA". Lineage: Eukaryota; Fungi; Basidiomycota; Microbotryomycetes; Sporidiobolales; Sporidiobolaceae. The record is from RNAcentral.
CGCACCUUGCGCUCGCUGGUAUUCCGGCGAGCAUGCCUGUUUGAGUGUCAUGAACUCUUCAACCCUCCAGUUCCUUGUUUGAACUGCGAGGUGCUUGGAUCUUGAACACUGCUGGCUCUUUCGAGAGCGAAGCUUGUUCGUAAUGCAUUAGCAAUCUCAAUUUCGAAUAUAAUUCGGUUUGACUCGGCGUGAUAGACUUAUAUUCGCUGAGGACAUUACAUUUACUGUGGUGGCCGAAUUUCGAAGUAGAAGCUUCAAACACAAAAGUCUCCUUUAAGAUUAGACCUCAGAUCAGGCAGGACUACCCGCUGAACUUAA